RNAcentral lists this ribosomal RNA (425 nucleotides) under uncultured bacterium. Its description in RNAcentral is "partial 16S ribosomal RNA". It matches the Rfam family "Bacterial small subunit ribosomal RNA", at positions 354 to 796 of the family's 1533-position model. The record is from RNAcentral.
GUGGGGAAUAUUGGACAAUGGGCGCAAGCCUGAUCCAGCCAUGCCGCGUGAGUGAUGAAGGCCUUAGGGUUGUAAAGCUCUUUCACCGAUGAAGAUAAUGACGGUAGUCGGAGAAGAAGCCCCGGCUAACUUCGUGCCAGCAGCCGCGGUAAUACGAAGGGGGCUAGCGUUGUUCGGAUUUACUGGGCGUAAAGCGCACGUAGGCGGUUUGUUAAGUCAGAGGUGAAAUCCCGGAGCUCAACUCCGGAACUGCCUUUGAUACUGGCAAGCUAGAGUCCGGAAGAGGUAAGUGGAACUCCUAGUGUAGAGGUGGAAUUCGUAGAUAUUAGGAAGAACACCAGUGGCGAAGGCGGCUUACUGGUCCGGAACUGACGCUGAGGUGCGAAAGCGUGGGGAGCAAACAGGAUUAGAUACCCGAGUAGUCC